This 73-nucleotide transfer RNA is filed under the name Stegodyphus mimosarum. It matches the Rfam family "tRNA". Rfam says of the family: Transfer RNA (tRNA) molecules are approximately 80 nucleotides in length. Their secondary structure includes four short double-helical elements and three loops (D, anti-codon, and T loops). Further hydrogen bonds mediate the characteristic L-shaped molecular structure. tRNAs have two regions of fundamental functional importance: the anti-codon, which is responsible for specific mRNA codon recognition, and the 3' end, to which the tRNAs corresponding amino acid is attached (by aminoacyl-tRNA synthetases). tRNAs cope with the degeneracy of the genetic code in two manners: having more than one tRNA (with a specific anti-codon) for a particular amino acid; and 'wobble' base-pairing, i.e. permitting non-standard base-pairing at the 3rd anti-codon position. Lineage: Eukaryota; Metazoa; Arthropoda; Arachnida; Araneae; Eresidae. The record is from Rfam by way of RNAcentral.
GCUUUCGUGGUGUAGUGGUCAGCACGCUCGUCACGUAUUUGAGAGGUUCGUGGUUCGAGUCCCGCCAAAGGCA